This 460-nucleotide ribosomal RNA is filed under the name uncultured bacterium. Its description in RNAcentral is "partial 16S ribosomal RNA". It matches the Rfam family "Bacterial small subunit ribosomal RNA", at positions 338 to 795 of the family's 1533-position model. The record is from RNAcentral.
CCUACGGGCGGCAGCAGUGAGGAAUAUUGGUCAAUGGGCUUACGCCUGAACCAGCCAAGUCGCGUGAGGGAAGACUGCCCUAUGGGUUGUAAACCUCUUUUGUCAGGGAGCAACGCCGGCUACGUGUAGCCGGACUGAGAGUACCUGAAGGAAAAGCAUCGGCUAACUCCGUGCCAGCAGCCGCGGUAAUACGGAGGAUGCGAGCGUUAUCCGGAUUUAUGGGGUUUAAAGGGUGCGUAGGCGGAAUGCCAAGUCAGCGGUAAAAUCGCGGGGCUCAACCUCGCUCCGCCGUUGAAACUGGCGUUCUUGAGUGGGCGAGAAGUAUGCGGAAUGCGUGGUGUAGCGGUGAAAUGCAUAGAUAUCACGCAGAACUCCGAUUGCGAAGGCAGCAUACCGGCGAGCAACUGACGCUGAAGCACGAAAGCGUGGGUAUCGAACAGGAUUAGAUACCCCAGUAGUC